GGAGACCAGGCUGGACUCAAACU
Molecule: non-coding RNA, 23 nt
Filed under: Cricetulus griseus (Chinese hamster)
Lineage: Eukaryota; Metazoa; Chordata; Mammalia; Rodentia; Cricetidae
Source: RNAcentral